Molecule: non-coding RNA, 88 nt
Organism: Neopestalotiopsis sp. 37M
Lineage: Eukaryota; Fungi; Ascomycota; Sordariomycetes; Amphisphaeriales; Sporocadaceae
Source: the annotation of a GenBank genome assembly
UCCGAAUUGGUGUAACGGUCAACAUUUCGCGUUUUCAAGACUCUGUCUUACUACCGCGGAGCUCGGGGUUCGAUUCCCCGAUUCGGAG